UACUUCGUUAUCCAGAAGCAGCUGAUGGGUUCGGGAACAGACGGAUAAGUCUCGCGCGAAAGAGAUCGGAUUCAUUGGCGGUUGGCUCAGUGAGGUGUGCGUUAUUUGUGUGUGUUCAAUACUUUUUAUGCGAGUGUGUAUGUAUCGCACGUGUCUGUGUAUGUCAAUGAACUGCCGAGGGUUUCACACAGUGCGUACACAGUGCUGGCUUCGGUUUGGCUAUUAGGAGGCGUGCCAGACACAACGAUUGCAUUUAGCUGCAAACCGCGCUGUUUUUAUCAGCACUCAUUCAGCCGUUACACUUCAAACAGUCUGCGAUCUUCUCACUGAGCAGACACUCUGUGGAAGUGAAAAAAAAAUCUCUCGUCGGGUAUUGAGCAAUUACCAAACACCGAGGCGAGGUGGCGGUGUUUCGGAGUCGUGAAAGGAUAACUUUCUAGUUCUUUCAUCUGCUGCUUUUCCCGACGUCCCUUGGAUCAAUAAAUAGCCCUCAACUACAGCAAUCCUCCAUCCCAGACCCAUCAUCGCUUUACCUGGAUUUCAUAACUGUUGGAAAUAUAUCAAUCUUGCCCAGACGUCUGAUCAUCAUCAUCAUCAACCUGCAUCUCAUUCCUCUCCCAGUAGUGAAAAAUAUUGGAUUUUAAACUUGGAAUAAAUCACUCAUUUCUUUAUUUCGCUUGUUAGUCAUCACUUAAUCUCUUCAACCGAGAUGGAAGCCGAUCAAAUAUUUACUGCUGACUGCAUCAAGAAGAGGCGGAUUAGAGGGGGCAAGGUGCAAUAUUUGGUGAAGUGGAGGGGAUGCUCUAGCAAAUACAAUACCUGGGAGCCCGAGCAUAAUAUUUUAGAUCUGAGCUUGGUUCGUGACUUCGAGGAAAGGUAAGUCUAUUCAAUUUACUUUUAUUUUCGAUUUAUUAAUGUAUUUUACAUUUUGUCUUGUUUUACUUCCAACAUCGCUUCCAUCAGUGUCCAUAAUCCAGCUGAACAAAAAGGCAAGUAUGGAAAUUGUUCAAUCUGCAGUUGUCAUAGCAACUUGGUAAAAUCUAUCAAGGAGCAAAGAUAGUUUAGUUUUCAUUUGGUAUGCUAAGAUGAGGAAUUUCCACUUUGUGAUUACAGACUGUAGGCAGUCUCUUCUCUUACAUCUCUUACAUUUUUUAAUAACAGUCAUACCAAAAAAAAAAAGACUCCAAACCAUCCAGUGGUAUGUCGUUGCUAUAUUUUGUAUAAACCUUUAUCAGUGUGCAGUCGGUUUGGUUCGUGUUAGUCUGCAGUAACAGACCCUGAUUGAAACUUUGAUCAGCAAGUGUGUCUCCACGCAAAGACUAGCACAUACAAAACUUGCUGUUUCAAUACAGCGAGAGGGCCUUCAGUACACAAGGCAUUAGUAGGCUGCACAUUCAUAUUCAGACCAUUAACUCGAGUGAAGGGUUUGCACAGCAGACCAUUCGUGUUGCCGCGAUAUUGGCACCGAAUAUUCAAUAGCGAGUUUUCGAUGCAUUCCACAAUAUAGUGUAUCUAAUGAAAAUGUCCAUCAAAUCUCUAAGAGGUCUUUGUCGAAAAUUGUUGAACCGGGACAGCACAUCGUCCUAAGAUUCGAUGCUGACAGAAAAUUUCCAAUACUAAUAUGUCGUUUGUCCAGAGUCUAGGACGACACUGCUGUUUGAUUCACUGAUUUUCGACAAAGGCUGCUUAGUAUUGUCAUGAAGGGUUUUUGACAAUAGAUUCUCAGCGUUCCAGAAAGCGUCUGCGUAGUGGUUGCGAACACUUCCUAUAAUUUGUAUGGAACUUCACAGACCAAAAUAUAACGAUGAUAAGAUAAUACGUCCACUCUUGAGGGAAUGGAUAAUAAUCAUUCCUGAUUCCCACCUCGGUGUGAUAUCAAAAUCCUUCCAUAUGUAUAGGCCUAAAUGGUGAGCAUUGGAGGCGGCAGUGCAUUUUGAUAGGGGUAAGAUGACCUUCAGGUCUUUUGUCUCUUUUUUCCAAACCUUAGUUAUUUCUUCCUUUCUUCAUAUUAUUUUCCCCUCCUCUCCCCCAUACUUGAAAAAGUGCCCCUUGCCCCAUGUAGCGUCGCCCCUGAGAACCUCCGAAGAGGUGGUUUCCAAUUCGUCUAUAAUGCCAAGUCGUCAAAUAGCCAACUCGUCUGCUCUCAUAUUUUGGUCUACCAUCAGCUCGUCCACUAUCCAUAGGGUCUUAUUGACAAUUUAUCCACUCACCAUUUCGUCUAAUAACCAGGUGGUCCAAUAGCCAUUUAGUCCAUGUAUCAUUUGGUCUAAUUGGACUCGGUAAUUAUUGUGUAAAAUGAAUGAAAAUGAAAAUGAAAUGGAUAUUAGACCCAACUGAUUAUGGGACGAAUUGGUCAUAGGCGAAAUGGUGAUUAGACGAAGUGAUGAUUGGACCAAAUAGUUGAUAGACGAUAUGUUGAUUGACGGAAUGGCAUUGGACUAAAUGAAAGUAAACCAUGUGGCAUGUGUGGUGAGUGGACGAGCUGGCAGAAGACGAAUUGGCAAUUUACCCUAAGCGAUGACCCUACCCCCCUCCCCCUCCCUUGAUCCCCCUUUCAGCAAAUCACUUCAUAACAUAACUCCAUACCAUAACCAUGAUAACUGUUUUUACAAUUUUAACAAUACUUACCGCAAACCGAGUCACAUGCUUUUGGCUUUUAACCAUAUUACUUCAAUUCAAAUUAUUUUUUCGGACGCAAGCCAAAAAAUCAUUUUAAAGGGGAUGUCCACCCUGACGUGAUGGCGGUUUAGAAAAUGAGAUACAUAUUUAUGAACUAAGUUUUGGCGAAAGUCCACCAAAGAAUAUUAGUCUUGAAAUAAUAGCCAGAGCUCGAGUUAUAAAAUCGCGAAACAUGGCAGUUAAUAUGAUUAAACAGUAUAAGGAAAGAAUGCGAAGGAACAUAAUGAUGGGGCAUUAUAUGAAAUUACUCACUUUUACAAGCUAUUUUGAAGAAAAUGAUGAUGUAUUUUGAAGUAAGGCCCACUUUACACAGAGUGAACAACAAAUUUAGUUUGUUUUUUUUUUUUUUUUAAUAAAAUUGAGAUUCAACUGCUUUGCCAAAAACUUGACUGGAAGGCUGUAUACGACAUCUUGGAUCAGCAACGUCUACCGAGCAAAAAGGGAGUUGAAAAGAAAAAUAGUCACGAAGAUGAUGAAUAUUGACAGUUGGCUCUAACAUGAGAUAUUACAUUACUAUCUCGGAUGUAGAAUAGCGUGUUUGUGAAUAGAGUAAGACCUCAAUCACAUAUUUGUGGUUCAUUCUGGACGUUGAUUGCAAUGUCGAUUGGAAGUUUGUAUGAUUUUUAUGAUCCGUGAAUAAGUUGGGCUAUUUUGGACCAUAUCGAAUCCAUAAUAAUUCACCAAGACCAAGGGUUGUUUAAACUGAACUCCAUUAAAAAUUCCGUCACAGCUUGGAGUAGUAGGUCCAUGGUCACAGCAAUGAAAGUUUAUUCCAUAAAAAUAUAAUAUGGAUUGUGGUCAAUUUUAGUAGGUAUGUUAUUAAAAGAGAUUCUUACC
Long non-coding RNA from Lytechinus pictus (painted urchin), 3516 nucleotides. RefSeq lists it as uncharacterized. The record is from RefSeq and is a predicted model, not a curated record. NCBI's taxonomy places the organism in Eukaryota, Metazoa, Echinodermata, Echinoidea, Temnopleuroida, Toxopneustidae. The transcript is spliced from 3 exons.